GGCUCUGUAGUGAAGUUCAUAAUGAGUUGCAAGCUCAUUGAUGUGCAUUGAUUGUGCACCGGGGUCU
RNAcentral lists this transfer RNA (67 nucleotides) under Spizella passerina (chipping sparrow). RNAcentral describes it as "tRNA-Cys". The record is from RNAcentral. Lineage: Eukaryota; Metazoa; Chordata; Aves; Passeriformes; Passerellidae.